CACAUCUGGCUGUGUCUGACCCACAGUGACUCCAGGUUGUUUCAUCCACUACAGUCUCAUUAAACAGACAGCAUUUUAAAGGUGAUUGUGUAGCAGUGUUGGAUGAGGCCCCAUACAUUGGCCCAUUCCGCAGUGAGCAGCUCACGCAGGGAGUGGUGGCUGUGUUGUGUGGUGUGCAGAAAGAGCUGGGAAUCUGGGAGCUGAGUGCAUGAAGUUCUCUGAAACAUCUCCAGCUUUGCCUUCCAAAGAUUCACAAGAGAUUGAGGCAGAGUGGCAGUGAAAAAUGUUGAUGUAUCAAUAGCCUGGGACCCCACUUGCUCCACUGCCCUGAGAGAUUGCAACAGGAUGCUCCCCUGCUCUUAGUCCAGGACUGGUUUCAAGUCUCCAGAUGCUGCAGGUGCAAGUAUUUACACUGCAAACCAGAUCCUUCAAAAAUGCUAUAAAUGUGGCUGUAUGUGAAAGACCCUGCAGGAUGUUUACUGAAAGAAAUGCUUGAAAGAUGUCAUUUUUCCUUCGGCAAAGAUCUCCCUAUGCCUUUCUUUUCCUGCUUCUCAGUGCUCCCAUGCAGGCAGUGCAUGGCUCAGAGGCGGCGCAGCACACCUGGCUCUGUGCUCUCAGACCCGCCGUGUCCUAUGCAGGCUUCUCUCCAAGAUGACAUUAAUUCACUGGAAGGGAGAAGAAGAGUACCAGGAUUUCUGAAAUCAUAAAUUUUUUCAUAUAGAUGACUACCCAAAGUACAUAUUGUAAUGAGCUUAAAAGCUAAGAGGCCAGGGACUAUCUAAGACCAUAGGAACUGGAAUCUAUAAACAAGCUCAUCCAAUAUAUUGUCAACGGGAGACAUGUAUUUAUGGUGAAAUGGCUUUCAGGGUAGAAACUAUUGGGUCUUCUUUUUUUUAUCUGUUCUCUGGCAGAGGAAUGAUUUAAAGAGAACCUCAACUCGCAUUUCAAGUAAUAGGUGACAGGAGCUCAUCCAUUUCAGUGUAAUUCAUUGCACUGCAAAUGUAUGGGGGAGAUUCUAAAAGAAAACCAGGGAGUUAUAUUUCCAAGUGAGCCACUAGAUUUUUAAAUGUGGUAUUUCCUCCUUGUUUUCCUUCUAUUAAACUUACUGCUUUCCCUGAGAAGAAGAUUGCAUUUUUGUGUUAGAUAAUGCUCUGUAUCUGUUCCUGCUCUAACGCCAGCUCUAAAGCUGGGGGUGCAAGGUAGGGUAAAUGCUUGGUUUUGCUACUCAUAAUGUUAGUGAUAGCUUUUGUUUUAUUGUUGUUGCUCAAGU
Molecule: long non-coding RNA, 1270 nt
Organism: Gallus gallus (chicken)
Lineage: Eukaryota; Metazoa; Chordata; Aves; Galliformes; Phasianidae
Source: Ensembl